AACGAACGCUGGCGGCAUGCCUAACACAUGCAAGUCGAACGAAGGCUUCGGCCUUAGUGGCGCACGGGUGAGUAACGCGUGGGAUUCUGCACCUCGGUUCGGAAUAACAGUUAGAAAUGACUGCUACUUCAGGAUGUUGUCUUCGGUCAAAAGAUUUAUAGCAGAGGGAUUAGCCCGCGUAAGAUUAGGUAGUUGGUGGGGUAAAGGCCUACAAAGCAGACGAUCGUUAGCUGGUCUGAGAGGAUGAUCAGCCACACUGGGACUGAGAACCGGCCCAGACUCCUACGGGAGGCGGCAGUAGUGAAUAUUGGACAAUGGGCGAAAGCCUGAUCCAGUACUGUCGCGUGAGUGAUGAUGGCCUUAGUGUUGUAUAGCUCUUUUACCAGAGAUGUUAAUGACAGUACCUGGAGAAUAAGCUCCGGCUAACUCCGUGCCAGCCGCCGCGGUAA
This 449-nucleotide ribosomal RNA is filed under the name uncultured bacterium. Its description in RNAcentral is "partial 16S ribosomal RNA". It matches the Rfam family "Bacterial small subunit ribosomal RNA", at positions 29 to 523 of the family's 1533-position model. The record is from RNAcentral.